GUCGGGAUAGCUCAGUUGGUAGAGCAGAGGACUGAAAUUC
This 40-nucleotide transfer RNA is filed under the name Orobanche hederae. RNAcentral's name for it is "partial tRNA-Phe". RNAcentral also lists the same sequence under 1 other name. The record is from RNAcentral. Lineage: Eukaryota; Viridiplantae; Streptophyta; Magnoliopsida; Lamiales; Orobanchaceae.